GAAGCACUUGCGGUUUUAUUAUGAUUCGCCGCUAGUAAUGUUUCUAGUUUCCAUGUUAUUGGAACGAAUUUGGUUUUAUGCGACGGAAAUACGAGCUGCUGUUCACGUGACAUAUUCGACUAUUGCAAACAGAAAAUUGAUAAUUUCUAUGCACUGUUGCAACUCCGGUGUUUGGCGAUUCCUUCCAAAUUGAAAAAUAGAUUCUUUUGACCGAACACUACAGAAAAUCAGUUGUGUUUUCAUUUGAAAUACAGGUAUUUUUACACCAAAUAUCAGCUAAUCCAAAGCUGAUUAGGAUAUCAAAAUAUAACAGCUAUCCAGAAUUCUGCAAAAAACGAUAAAAUACAAAUAAUUUUUCGUCUAUUAUCAGAAUUUUAUAUGAAAUUCACCAAGAAGCAAGGGAGAUGGGCUCUCACCUUAUACGUGGCAAUAUGAAUAAAAUAUGGAUUCAUCAGUUGAAUAAACGAACAUUUCGUGCUCGAAUAACUGUAUUCACACAGGCCGUAUAAUGAUCACUUGGGUAUAUAUGAGUUUAUUUGAAGAUCUGAAGAGCAUUGAUUUGUUUUACGCUAAAGAAAGAAAUUGAAAACGGAUGCUAUUUUUGUGAAAGUACCUACUAAUUACGUCAAACUGCUCAACUGCUUGUUAAAAAAUAAUGAUAAUAGGAUAUAAUAUAUGAAAAUAUUUUUUUCUUA
Long non-coding RNA from Plodia interpunctella (Indianmeal moth), 695 nucleotides. RefSeq lists it as uncharacterized. The record is from RefSeq and is a predicted model, not a curated record. The transcript has 2 exons. NCBI's taxonomy places the organism in Eukaryota, Metazoa, Arthropoda, Insecta, Lepidoptera, Pyralidae.